CCUACGGGAGGCAGCAGUGAGGAAUAUUGGUCAAUGGGAGAGAUCCUGAACCAGCCAAGCCGCGUGAGGGAAGACGGCCCUAUGGGUUGUAAACCUCUUUUGUCGGAGAACAAAACCCGGGACGUGUCCCGCACUGCGUGUAUCCGACGAACAAGCAUCGGCAAACCCCGUCCCGGCAGCCGCGGUAAUACGGAGGAUGCGAGCGUUAUCCGGAUGUAUUGGGUGUAAGGGGUGGGUAGGCGGUCCGUUCAGUCAGCGGUAAAAGUGCGGGGCUCAACCCCGUCGAGCCGUUGAAACUGGCAGACUGGAGUGGGGGAGAAGUACGCGGAAUGCGCGGUGUAGCGGUGAAAUGCAUAGAUAUCGCGCAGAACUCCGAUUGCGAAGGCAGCGUACCGGAGCCAGACUGACGCUGAGGCACGAAGGCGUGGGGAUCGAACAGGAUUAGAUACCCGAGUAGUC
This 459-nucleotide ribosomal RNA is filed under the name uncultured bacterium. RNAcentral's name for it is "partial 16S ribosomal RNA". It matches the Rfam family "Bacterial small subunit ribosomal RNA", at positions 338 to 795 of the family's 1533-position model. The record is from RNAcentral.